GUUCGUCAACAGAGAUCACCUAUCGUCCUGCGUGUCAAUAUUAUAUUGGUCAAUUGACCAAAAUUAAAUUCAUAUUAACGACUACUCAUUUUAUAUGAUACUCCUAUAUCGAGAACAAAUAUACAUUGAAAAUGGUCAUUACUUCUACCUGACAAUAGAGAACAAAUCUAUAUUGAACAUCAUUUCAUGUCAAAGACCAAUCCACCAUUCCAGUCAAAAAAAUGACACAAAAUUUAAUACUAAUAGGUUUUACAUAUCUCAUUAACGUACAA
Molecule: long non-coding RNA, 272 nt
Filed under: Panax ginseng (ginseng)
Lineage: Eukaryota; Viridiplantae; Streptophyta; Magnoliopsida; Apiales; Araliaceae
Description: long non-coding RNA (PGIN_LNC011716)
Source: RNAcentral